RNAcentral lists this ribosomal RNA (253 nucleotides) under uncultured bacterium. RNAcentral's name for it is "partial 16S ribosomal RNA". It matches the Rfam family "Bacterial small subunit ribosomal RNA", at positions 524 to 776 of the family's 1533-position model. The record is from RNAcentral.
UACGGAGGGUGCGAGCGUUGUUCGGAAUUACUGGGCGUAAAGCGCACGUAGGCGGCUUUGUAAGUUAGAGGUGAAAGCCCGGGGCUCAACCCCGGAAUAGCCUUUAAGACUGCAUCGCUUGAACGUCGGAGAGGUGAGUGGAAUUCCGAGUGUAGAGGUGAAAUUCGUAGAUAUUCGGAAGAACACCAGUGGCGAAGGCGGCUCACUGGACGACUGUUGACGCUGAGGUGCGAAAGCGUGGGGAGCAAACAGG